AGCACCUCUCGCUGACAGCCUCGGCUUCCAGUAUAAAAUUAACUGGAUCAAACCGGCUACUGAAUACCGCACCUGGUGUGUAAGAGACUUUCUUUGCAGAGACAGGUCAGGCCACCAGAAGUCUCCUGGGCCUCCGAGGGGUUCAAGAGGAGUGGAGUAGAGCCUGCAGGCUAUGCGCUUGCCUACUUAGUACACAGGACAGCUCAUUGCUUUCAAGAAGGAGGCUCCACUCUACUCCGUGAUUAGCCGACAUCGCCAAGUGGAGAGCAACGCUGACCUACAGGUACAGAAUGUGAGCCUUUGCUCUCUUCUUUUUCACGUCCAUGACCCUCAUGGAGCACCAUGCACUUGACAAAGGAGGUAUGCAGGCCACCCUUGGGAGCAGACCAUUCUACACUUCCCUGCGUAAACCGUUCCAGUUAACUAUGACCUCAAAAACCAAGAAAUCAAAAGUCUCCUGUUUGCCAGAAAUAUUGCGACCUGCACAUGCAGAUGCUCUGAAAAAAUAAAAACAUUUUAUCGGC
Molecule: non-coding RNA, 524 nt
Organism: Leptonychotes weddellii (Weddell seal)
Lineage: Eukaryota; Metazoa; Chordata; Mammalia; Carnivora; Phocidae
Source: RefSeq, a predicted model, not a curated record